GGGUGUGAGUAGAGUGGCGCACGGGUGAGUAAUGGAUAGGAACGUGCCUUUGGGAGGGGGAUACCACGGGAGGGUGUGGCUAAUACCGCAUGGUCUCGCAAGAGUAAAGGUGGCCUCUACUUGUAAGCUACCACCCAAAGAUCGGCCUAUCUCCCAUUAGCUUGUUGGUGAGGUAACGGCUCACCAACGCAACGAUGGGUAGCUGGUCUGAGAGGAUGAUCAGCCACACUGGGACUGAGACACGGCCCAGACUCCUACGGGAGGCAGCAGUGGGGAAUUUUGCACAAUGGGCGCAAGCCUGAUGCAACAACGCCGCGUGAAUGAAGAAGGCCCUUGGGUUGUAAAGUUCUUUCGGCUAGGAAGCAGGGACUCAGUGAAAAUAUUGCUGGGUUCUGACGGUACUAGAAGAAGAAGCACCGGCUAACUCCGUGCCAGCAGCCGCGGUAAUACGGAGGGUGCAAGCGUUGUUCGGAAUGACUGGGCGUAAAGAGCACGUAGGCGGGCUAGUAAGUCAAUUGUGAAAGCCCAGAGCUUAACUUUGGAAUUGCAGUUGAAACUGCUAGUCUUGAAUACCUGAGAGGGUGGGAGAAUACCUGGUGUAGAUGUGAAAUUCGUAGAUAUCAGGAGGAAUAUCCGAGGCGAAGGCGCCUGCCUGGCAGUGUAUUGACGCUGAGGUGCGAAAGCGUGGGUAGCACACAGGAUUAGAUAGCCUGGUAGUCCACGCCGUAAACGAUGGAUACUACGUGUUCGGAGCGUUAACCCUCUGAGUACCGUAGCUAACGCAUAAAGUAUCCGCCUGGGGAGUACGG
This 809-nucleotide ribosomal RNA is filed under the name uncultured organism. Its description in RNAcentral is "bacterial SSU rRNA". It matches the Rfam family "Bacterial small subunit ribosomal RNA", at positions 82 to 885 of the family's 1533-position model. The record is from RNAcentral.